RNAcentral lists this long non-coding RNA (925 nucleotides) under Homo sapiens (human). RNAcentral describes it as "non-protein coding lnc-KLRB1-1:1". Lineage: Eukaryota; Metazoa; Chordata; Mammalia; Primates; Hominidae. The record is from RNAcentral.
CUUUUCAUGGCCUGGUCAGAGAGAGUGCUCACCCAACCGAGAAGGCCCUGGCGGGGUCACACUGGCUAAAUAAAAAGCGCCUUCUUCUGCUUUUUUCGGAGCUCCAGGUGACGGCUCCUCCUUCACUCCAGGGCGGAGCUCUGCAGAAAAGGCGGGGAGGCACGGAGGGAGGUGUACUGGGGCUGCGGGAUUCGCGGCUACAUGGGCUUCUAGGCUCUCUCGCGCCCACCCUGCCCCGAGCUACGGAGCCCCUUCCGGUCCCGCGGACUCCAAGCCUCAAGUUUCCGCCACACCCUCCAGAGAAGCGUCCCCGCCGCAGCCCCGGGGGGCGGGAGGCGCGAGGCGCGGCUGCGCCCAGCACUGGCCCCACCUCCCACGCGCCCGCGGGAGAUUUGCUUGGGGCUGGAUCCCCCGCCUACCGUUUCCCCGCAGCCGCCGGCGCUUCUGGCGCUUGUGACCCGAGCAGGAAGCCCAGAGAGAAACCAGAAAGACAGGAAGGGGAUUCCUGGACUUCCUUUCCACAUCCGGCAGGAACGCGACCCUCCUCCAGCUAGGAGCGCUUGUCCGGGCGCACCAAGAUGCCUGCAGCUUCAAGAAGAUGUAUGGGAACAGACACAGAAACUUUCCCUACCAGAUAAGCAGGACAAAGAAACACAGACUAAGAGUUGGCCUGUGUGGUCACGGAGUGGGUUAAGAGAUGAUAAAAAAAUCUGCUCUGUACAGAUGGCACACCUGGUCCCAACUAAACCCUGGGGCCCUAGAAAGAUAAGACAUCCCCUCCUCACAAGCCCCUCCUCAAGAGCCCCCUCCUCAAGAGCCCAUUUAUAAAAACUCUGACAUUCUUAACUACAACUUGGCAAUCUUCUCAGGAUCCCUCUCUAACAGAGACCUGUUCUUUCCUUUUGCCUAUUAAACUCCUGCUCCA